RNAcentral lists this ribosomal RNA (470 nucleotides) under uncultured Syntrophorhabdus sp. Its description in RNAcentral is "bacterial SSU rRNA". It matches the Rfam family "Bacterial small subunit ribosomal RNA", at positions 916 to 1381 of the family's 1533-position model. The record is from RNAcentral. Lineage: Bacteria; Pseudomonadati; Thermodesulfobacteriota; Syntrophorhabdia; Syntrophorhabdales; Syntrophorhabdaceae.
GACGGGGCCCGCACAAGCGGUGGAGCAUGUGGUUUAAUUCGACGCAACGCGAAAACCUUACCUGGGUUUGACAUGCCGAGUACCCGAUGGAAACAUUGGGUGCCCGUAAGGGGAACUUGGACACAGGUGCUGCAUGGCUGUCGUCAGCUCGUGCCGUGAGGUGUUGGGUUAAGUCCCGCAACGAGCGCAACCCUCACCCUUAGUUGCCAUCAUUAAGUUGGGCACCCUAAGGGAACUGCCGCAGUUAAUGCGGAGGAAGGUGGGGAUGACGUCAAGUCCUCAUGGCCCUUAUAUCCAGGGCUACACACGUGCUACAAUGGACGGUACAAAGGGUCGCGAACCUGCAAAGGGGAGCUAACCCCAGAAAACCGCUCUCAGUUCGGAUUGGAGUCUGCAACCCGACUCCAUGAAGCUGGAUUCGCUAGUAAUCGCGCAUCAGCUAUGGCGCGGUGAAUACGUUCCCGGGCCUU